AAACUUCUUGGGCACACAUGGUAUAUUCACCAAAAUAAGACUACAUUUAAUUGUUUGGAUUUUUUUUUUUUUUUUUUAAAUUAAGCACUCUGGAUGUACUGACCCUUGCAAUUUCCCCAAAUGUGGGAAACUCGACUGCAUAAUUUGUGGUAGUGGGGGACUGUGUUCACACUAUCCCCUG
Molecule: small nuclear RNA, 181 nt
Filed under: Marmota monax (woodchuck)
Lineage: Eukaryota; Metazoa; Chordata; Mammalia; Rodentia; Sciuridae
Rfam family: U1 spliceosomal RNA
About the family: U1 is a small nuclear RNA (snRNA) component of the spliceosome (involved in pre-mRNA splicing). Its 5' end forms complementary base pairs with the 5' splice junction, thus defining the 5' donor site of an intron.
Source: RNAcentral